ACAUACGACCAGACUCACUGGAAAACUCGGGAUCCCGUCCGCUCUCCCAUAGAAGCCAGUGAGGGCCGGAUUAGCAGUUAUGUAGGUGACGACCAGCGAAUACCUGGUGUUGUAUGUU
RNAcentral lists this ribosomal RNA (118 nucleotides) under Colletotrichum salicis. Lineage: Eukaryota; Fungi; Ascomycota; Sordariomycetes; Glomerellales; Glomerellaceae. The record is from RNAcentral.